RNAcentral lists this unclassified non-coding RNA (112 nucleotides) under uncultured Ascomycota. RNAcentral's name for it is "sequence contains ITS1". Lineage: Eukaryota; Fungi; Ascomycota. The record is from RNAcentral.
ACGAAUGGCCUUUGGCCUUCGACCUUGUAAACCCGUGGAAGCAAGACUGCUUGGGCGCUUCCGGCGCCCCGUCUAUGCCGUAAAGCUUUAGUCUGAACAAAAAAUAAGUUUA